CCUACGGGAGGCAGCAGUGAGGAAUAUUGGUCAAUGGCCGUAAGGCUGAACCAGCCAAGUCGCGUGAAGGAAGAAGGAUCUAUGGUUUGUAAACUUCUUUUAUAGGGGAAUAAAGGUAUCCACGUGUGGAUAUUUGCAUGUACCCUAUGAAUAAGCAUCGGCUAACUCCGUGCCAGCAGCCGCGGUAAUACGGAGGAUGCGAGCGUUAUCCGGAUUUAUUGGGUUUAAAGGGUGCGUAGGUUGUUUUUUAAGUCAGCGGUCAAAUGUCGGGGCUCAACCCCGGCCUGCCGUUGAAACUGGCGGCCUCGAGUGGGCGAGAAGUAUGUGGAAUGCGUGGUGUAGCGGUGAAAUGCAUAGAUAUCACGCAGAACUCCGAUUGCGAAGGCAGCAUACCGGCGCCCUACUGACGCUGAGGCACGAAAGCGUGGGUAUCGAACAGGAUUAGAUACCCGGGUAGUC
RNAcentral lists this ribosomal RNA (459 nucleotides) under uncultured bacterium. RNAcentral describes it as "partial 16S ribosomal RNA". It matches the Rfam family "Bacterial small subunit ribosomal RNA", at positions 338 to 795 of the family's 1533-position model. The record is from RNAcentral.